CGCGCAAGUGGUUUCUUAAGUCUGAUGUGAAAGCCCACGGCUCAACCGUGGAGGGUCAUUGGAAACUGGGAGACUUGAGUGCAGAAGAGGAUAGUGGAAUUCCAAGUGUAGCGGUGAAAUGCGUAGAGAUUUGGAGGAACACCAGUGGCGAAGGCGACUGUCUGGUCUGUAACUGACACUGAGGCGCGAAAGCGUGGGAGCAAACA
This 206-nucleotide ribosomal RNA is filed under the name uncultured bacterium. Its description in RNAcentral is "partial 16S ribosomal RNA". It matches the Rfam family "Bacterial small subunit ribosomal RNA", at positions 568 to 774 of the family's 1533-position model. The record is from RNAcentral.